RNAcentral lists this ribosomal RNA (253 nucleotides) under uncultured bacterium. RNAcentral's name for it is "partial 16S ribosomal RNA". It matches the Rfam family "Bacterial small subunit ribosomal RNA", at positions 524 to 776 of the family's 1533-position model. The record is from RNAcentral.
UACGGAGGGUGCAAGCGUUAUCCGGAUUCACUGGGUUUAAAGGGUGCGUAGGUGGGUCUGUAAGUCAGUGGUGAAAUCUCCGGGCUUAACCUGGAAACUGCCAUUGAUACUAUAGGUCUUGAAUUUUCUGGAGGUAAGCGGAAUAUGUCAUGUAGCGGUGAAAUGCUUAGAUAUGACAUAGAACACCAAUUGCGAAGGCAGCUUGCUACAGGAAUAUUGACACUGAGGCACGAAAGCGUGGGGAUCAAACAGG